UCGCAGUGGGGGUUAGCCUCGAAAGAGA
RNAcentral lists this small RNA (28 nucleotides) under Bombyx mori (domestic silkworm). RNAcentral's name for it is "ovarian small RNA-28599". The record is from RNAcentral. Lineage: Eukaryota; Metazoa; Arthropoda; Insecta; Lepidoptera; Bombycidae.